RNAcentral lists this unclassified non-coding RNA (219 nucleotides) under uncultured Tomentella. RNAcentral describes it as "sequence contains ITS2". Lineage: Eukaryota; Fungi; Basidiomycota; Agaricomycetes; Thelephorales; Thelephoraceae. The record is from RNAcentral.
ACACCUCAACUCUCAUGGUUUGCCAUGAUGAGCUUGGACUUUGGGGGUCUUGCUGGCCUAGCGUCGGCUCCUCUCAAAUGGAUCAGCCUGCCAGUGUUUGGUGGCAUCACAGGUGUGAUAACUAUCUACGCUUGUGGUUCUCUGCCAUGUAACCUUCAGUGAUGGAGGUUUGCUGGAGGCUCACAGAUGUCUCUCCUUGAGGAGGACAGCUUUUUGAAC